GAACGGCAGCACGGGAGCAAUCCUGGUGGCGAGUGGCGAACGGGUGAGUAAUACAUCGGAACGUGCCCAGUAGUGGGGGAUAGCCCGGCGAAAGCCGGAUUAAUACCGCAUACGACUUACGGGUGAAAGCGGGGGAUCGCAAGACCUCGCGCUAUUGGAGCGGCCGAUGUCAGAUUAGGUUGUUGGUGGGGUAAAAGCCUACCAAGCCGACGAUCUGUAGCUGGUCUGAGAGGACGACCAGCCACACUGGGACUGAGACACGGCCCAGACUCCUACGGGAGGCAGCAGUGGGGAAUUUUGGACAAUGGGCGCAAGCCUGAUCCAGCCAUGCCGCGUGCGGGAAGAAGGCCUUCGGGUUGUAAACCGCUUUUGUCAGGGAAGAAACGGUCUGUACUAAUACUGCGGACUAAUGACGGUACCUGAAGAAUAAGCACCGGCUAACUACGUGCCAGCAGCCGCGGUAAUACGUAGGGUGCAAGCGUUAAUCGGAAUUACUGGGCGUAAAGCGUGCGCAGGCGGCUUUGCAAGACAGAUGUGAAAUCCCCGGGCUUAACCUGGGAACUGCAUUUGUGACUGCAUGGCUGGAGUGCGGCAGAGGGGGAUGGAAUUCCGCGUGUAGCAGUGAAAUGCGUAGAUAUGCGGAGGAACACCGAUGGCGAAGGCAAUCCCCUGGGCCUGCACUGACGCUCAUGCACGAAAG
This 700-nucleotide ribosomal RNA is filed under the name uncultured beta proteobacterium. Its description in RNAcentral is "bacterial SSU rRNA". It matches the Rfam family "Bacterial small subunit ribosomal RNA", at positions 64 to 759 of the family's 1533-position model. Lineage: Bacteria; Pseudomonadati; Pseudomonadota; Betaproteobacteria. The record is from RNAcentral.